AUGAAUCCUCGUAUUGACUCUCUGAGCUUUGGAGAGGAACGUCCGGUGGGUGUCAGCGAGUCUUUGCAAGCACCAGGUCACCUACUGCUGCUUCCCAGGAAGGAGGAGGUUCCCACGGAUUAUCAUCCCUUUCCGUGGGGUCCGGAAGGAGCCCCCCAGCCCAUUGCAGGGAGCUCGCGGCAGCCUCGUCCGUCUCCGUGUUCAGAGGCAACGCGCAAUGCCGGGCAGGAGGAAGCGAGCGUGACUGUCCCCGGCCGAGCGCGGCGCAGCCCCGAACAGAUGGCGCGGCGGAGCCAUGCCGUGGCCUCCAACAGCAAACACCAGGCCCCAUUGUUUCCUGCGAAAAGAGGGAUCGCGGAGCCAGCAGAGGAGACCUUCUGGAAGUGGGAGAAGCACAUUGCAGUGAGAUCUCUGGGUUCGCCUCGUUUUAACCCAGAGCAUGGGCAGGAUGGGUGCAGAACAGGCCAGUGCCUGGGACCAGGCGUGAGGAGCAGGUUUGCCAAGCUCUGUUUCAAGCACAAAUUGCUCUGGCUGUGA
RNAcentral lists this long non-coding RNA (537 nucleotides) under Apteryx haastii (Great spotted kiwi). Its description in RNAcentral is "lncRNA (ENSAHAG00000017048.1)". The record is from RNAcentral. Lineage: Eukaryota; Metazoa; Chordata; Aves; Apterygiformes; Apterygidae.